This 420-nucleotide ribosomal RNA is filed under the name uncultured bacterium. Its description in RNAcentral is "bacterial SSU rRNA". It matches the Rfam family "Bacterial small subunit ribosomal RNA", at positions 356 to 773 of the family's 1533-position model. The record is from RNAcentral.
AGGGAAUCUUCCGCAAUGGACGCAAGUCUGACGGAGCAACGCCGCGUGAGUGAGGAAGGCCUUCGGGUCGUAAAACUCUGUUGUCAGGGAAGAACAUCCGGGAUGAGCUCCCGGUCUGACGGUACCUGAUCAGAAAGCCCCGGCUAACUACGUGCCAGCAGCCGCGGUAAUACGUAGGGGGCAAGCGUUGUCCGGAAUUAUUGGGCGUAAAGCGCGCGCAGGCGGUUUCUUAAGUCUGGUGUGAAAGCCCGCAGCUCAACUGCGGAGGGCCACUGGAAACUGGGAAGCUUGAGUGUAGGAGAGGAGAGCGGAAUUCCACGUGUAGCGGUGAAAUGCGUAGAGAUGUGGAGGAACACCUGUGGCGAAAGCGGCUCUCUGGCCUAUAACUGACGCUGAGGCGCGAAAGCGUGGGGAGCAAAC